RNAcentral lists this ribosomal RNA (2493 nucleotides) under Escherichia coli. RNAcentral describes it as "partial 23S ribosomal RNA". It matches the Rfam family "Bacterial large subunit ribosomal RNA", at positions 165 to 2682 of the family's 2925-position model. The record is from RNAcentral. Lineage: Bacteria; Pseudomonadati; Pseudomonadota; Gammaproteobacteria; Enterobacterales; Enterobacteriaceae.
CAUAGGUUAAUGAGGCGAACCGGGGGAACUGAAACAUCUAAGUACCCCGAGGAAAAGAAAUCAACCGAGAUUCCCCCAGUAGCGGCGAGCGAACGGGGAGGAGCCCAGAGCCUGAAUCAGUGUGUGUGUUAGUGGAAGCGUCUGGAAAGGCGCGCGAUACAGGGUGACAGCCCCGUACACAAAAAUGCACAUGCUGUGAGCUCGAUGAGUAGGGCGGGACACGUGGUAUCCUGUCUGAAUAUGGGGGGACCAUCCUCCAAGGCUAAAUACUCCUGACUGACCGAUAGUGAACCAGUACCGUGAGGGAAAGGCGAAAAGAACCCCGGCGAGGGGAGUGAAAAAGAACCUGAAACCGUGUACGUACAAGCAGUGGGAGCCUCUUAAUGGGGUGACUGCGUACCUUUUGUAUAAUGGGUCAGCGACUUAUAUUCUGUAGCAAGGUUAACCGAAUAGGGGAGCCGAAGGGAAACCGAGUCUUAACUGGGCGUUAAGUUGCAGGGUAUGGACCCGAAACCCGGUGAUCUAGCCAUGGGCAGGUUGAAGGUUGGGUAACACUAACUGGAGGACCGAACCGACUAAUGUUGAAAAAUUAGCGGAUGACUUGUGGCUGGGGGUGAAAGGCCAAUCAAACCGGGAGAUAGCUGGUUCUCCCCGAAAGCUAUUUAGGUAGCGCCUCGUGAAUUCAUCUCCGGGGGUAGAGCACUGUUUCGGCAAGGGGGUCAUCCCGACUUACCAACCCGAUGCAAACUGCGAAUACCGGAGAAUGUUAUCACGGGAGACACACGGCGGGUGCUAACGUCCGUCGUGAAGAGGGAAACAACCCAGACCGCCAGCUAAGGUCCCAAAGUCAUGGUUAAGUGGGAAACGAUGUGGGAAGGCCCAGACAGCCAGGAUGUUGGCUUAGAAGCAGCCAUCAUUUAAAGAAAGCGUAAUAGCUCACUGGUCGAGUCGGCCUGCGCGGAAGAUGUAACGGGGCUAAACCAUGCACCGAAGCUGCGGCAGCGACACUAUGUGUUGUUGGGUAGGGGAGCGUUCUGUAAGCCUGUGAAGGUGGCCUGUGAGGGUUGCUGGAGGUAUCAGAAGUGCGAAUGCUGACAUAAGUAACGAUAAAGCGGGUGAAAAGCCCGCUCGCCGGAAGACCAAGGGUUCCUGUCCAACGUUAAUCGGGGCAGGGUGAGUCGACCCCUAAGGCGAGGCCGAAAGGCGUAGUCGAUGGGAAACAGGUUAAUAUUCCUGUACUUGGUGUUACUGCGAAGGGGGGACGGAGAAGGCUAUGUUGGCCGGGCGACGGUUGUCCCGGUUUAAGCGUGUAGGCUGGUUUUCCAGGCAAAUCCGGAAAACCAAGGCUGAGGCGUGAUGACGAGGCACUACGGUGCUGAAGUGACAAAUGCCCUGCUUCCAGGAAAAGCCUCUAAGCAUCAGGUAACAUCAAAUCGUACCCCAAACCGACACAGGUGGUCAGGUAGAGAAUACCAAGGCGCUUGAGAGAACUCGGGUGAAGGAACUAGGCAAAAUGGUGCCGUAACUUCGGGAGAAGGCACGCUGAUAUGUAGGUGAAGCGACUUGCUCGUGGAGCUGAAAUCAGUCGAAGAUACCAGCUGGCUGCAACUGUUUAUUAAAAACACAGCACUGUGCAAACACGAAAGUGGACGUAUACGGUGUGACGCCUGCCCGGUGCCGGAAGGUUAAUUGAUGGGGUUAGCGGUAACGCGAAGCUCUUGAUCGAAGCCCCGGUAAACGGCGGCCGUAACUAUAACGGUCCUAAGGUAGCGAAAUUCCUUGUCGGGUAAGUUCCGACCUGCACGAAUGGCGUAAUGAUGGCCAGGCUGUCUCCACCCGAGACUCAGUGAAAUUGAACUCGCUGUGAAGAUGCAGUGUACCCGCGGCAAGACGGAAAGACCCCGUGAACCUUUACUAUAGCUUGACACUGAACAUUGAGCCUUGAUGUGUAGGAUAGGUGGGAGGCUUUGAAGUGUGGACGCCAGUCUGCAUGGAGCCGACCUUGAAAUACCACCCUUUAAUGUUUGAUGUUCUAACGUUGGCCCCUAAUCGGGGUUGCGGACAGUGUCUGGUGGGUAGUUUGACUGGGGCGGUCUCCUCCUAAAGAGUAACGGAGGAGCACGAAGGUUGGCUAAUCCUGGUCGGACAUCAGGAGGUUAGUGCAAUGGCAUAAGCCAGCUUGACUGCGAGCGUGACGGCGCGAGCAGGUGCGAAAGCAGGUCAUAGUGAUCCGGUGGUUCUGAAUGGAAGGGCCAUCGCUCAACGGAUAAAAGGUACUCCGGGGAUAACAGGCUGAUACCGCCCAAGAGUUCAUAUCGACGGCGGUGUUUGGCACCUCGAUGUCGGCUCAUCACAUCCUGGGGCUGAAGUAGGUCCCAAGGGUAUGGCUGUUCGCCAUUUAAAGUGGUACGCGAGCUGGGUUUAGAACGUCGUGAGACAGUUCGGUCCCUAUCUGCCGUGGGCGCUGGAGAACUGAGGGGGGCUGCUCCUAGU